AUGUUUUAUCCAAAUGCUUUGCGGAGGGCGGAGCUGGGCGGAGCUGUGGCAGAAGAGGCGGCGCGACGGAGCAGGAGAAGAUGGCCGAGAAGAUGUUCAGGCGCGGCGCGGCGGGCGAAGAAAAGUUUUGGUGAUGAGCUUGUGGCCACGCUGGACCAGCUGCUGCAGUCCCCCUGCGCCGUCGCCGUGGGUCGCCUGUGUUCUGCUGCUCCGGUGCCGGCACCUGUCCCUGUGCGGUCCGUGCUCAGGAAUUUGGCGAAGAAGGCGACUGCCGUGCUUGCGCGCGAGAAGGGCGUCGGACCUCGUUGGCGCUGCGAAGGGGGCACAGCUCAGGUUGGGUACGCCGUCGGCCAGCGCCGGCGGCGAGCACGCUCCGCUGUGACUUGUCCGCCACAGCCAGUCCUCUCCCGCCUCCCCCGACUCCGUGUCCUUGUCCAACGCAAAUCAAUGGAGCUGCCGACCAGGAUUGUUGCUGGCUUCUAUAAGAAGGGAGGGUCCUCGGCUCGAAUCUCCAUCAGGUCAAUUUUGGACGAAGCAUCCAAUGUCGACACCGAGUUCGCCGCAGGAAGAAGCGCCGAGUUCGCCGGAGGUAGAAGAAGCGCCGAGUUCGCCGAAGGUAGAAGAACAGCCGUCGAGCUGUCCAAUCUCGCCUGCGUUGGCUACAACAGAGGUAUGUAUCCCCUUGACCCCUGUUUUGAGUUAUUUUUUUGUCCCCUGUUUCUCUAUGUACCUUCCAAUAUGGAGUUCAGAGGUAAAGAUAUUGUUGCGAAGUACGUCAGUUUAGAUAUUGUUGCCUUCUUGUGA
RNAcentral lists this ribosomal RNA (804 nucleotides) under Triticum aestivum (bread wheat). RNAcentral describes it as "partial small subunit ribosomal RNA". Lineage: Eukaryota; Viridiplantae; Streptophyta; Magnoliopsida; Poales; Poaceae. The record is from RNAcentral.